This is a long non-coding RNA of Phragmites australis (common reed), 399 nucleotides long. RefSeq lists it as uncharacterized. Lineage: Eukaryota; Viridiplantae; Streptophyta; Magnoliopsida; Poales; Poaceae. The record is from RefSeq and is a predicted model, not a curated record. The transcript has 3 exons.
UGCAAUGGGUCAAACUCCGCCACCGAUGCCAACCCCUUCUCGUCCACUUGCUCCAUAGGCUCCAAACACUCCUUAUCCAUCAGAGGGAUCGAAUACGCCUGGAGCUGGAGGUUCGCACUUUGGUACUCCACCUCACUUUGGUUAAGGUGGUAAUCAAGUGUUGAGUCCGUUACGGCCUGCUACAUUUUCUUUUUGUUUGGACUAUGUUUUGCUAUCUUGUCACGACAAUUUGUCAUGUUUGUGUCACUUGCGACGGUUUAUGUGAUGUUUGUGUAAUAUGCGAUGUUUAUGCGACGCUUUAUGUGAUGUUUGUGUAAUAUGCGAUGUUUAUGCGACGCUUUAUGUGAUGUUUGCGUAAUAUGCGAUGUUUAUGCGACGCUUUAUGUGAUGUUUGCGUAA